CAGUAGCCGCGGGAAUACGAAGGGGGCUAGCGUUGCUCGGAAUCACUGGGCGUAAAGGGUGCGUAGGCGGGUCUUUAAGUCAGGGGUGAAAUCCUGGAGCUCAACUCCAGAACUGCCUUUGAUACUGAAGAUCUUGAGUUCGGGAGAGGUGAGUGGAACUGCGAGUGUAGAGGUGAAAUUCGUAGAUAUUCGCAAGAACACCAGUGGCGAAGGCGGCUCACUGGCCCGAUACUGACGCUGAGGCACGAAAGCGUGGGGAGCAAACAGGAUUAGAUACCCGCGUAGUCCCUGUCUCUUAUAC
This 301-nucleotide ribosomal RNA is filed under the name uncultured bacterium. RNAcentral's name for it is "partial 16S ribosomal RNA". It matches the Rfam family "Bacterial small subunit ribosomal RNA", at positions 509 to 807 of the family's 1533-position model. The record is from RNAcentral.